This 427-nucleotide ribosomal RNA is filed under the name uncultured bacterium. Its description in RNAcentral is "bacterial SSU rRNA". It matches the Rfam family "Bacterial small subunit ribosomal RNA", at positions 355 to 775 of the family's 1533-position model. The record is from RNAcentral.
UGGGGAAUCUUGCGCAAUGGACGAAAGUCUGACGCAGCGACGCCGCGUGGGUGAUGAAGGCCUUCGGGUUGUAAAGCCCUGUGGGGGGAGACGAAUAAGUGCAAGCGAAUACCUUGCAUGAUGACGGUAUCUCCUUAGCAAGCACCGGCUAACUCUGUGCCAGCAGCCGCGGUAAGACAGAGGGUGCAAACGUUGUUCGGAAUUACUGGGCGUAAAGCGUGUGUAGGCUGCCCUAUAAGUCGGAUGUGAAAGCCCCAGGCUCAACCUGGGAAGUGCACUCGAUACUGUAGGGCUUGAGUAUCGGAGAGGUUGGUGGAAUUCUCGGUGUAGAGGUGAAAUUCGUAGAUAUCGAGAGGAACACCGGUGGCGAAGGCGGCCAACUGGACGAAUACUGACGCUGAGACACGAAAGCGUGGGGAGCAAACAG